RNAcentral lists this ribosomal RNA (790 nucleotides) under Lentilactobacillus kefiri. RNAcentral describes it as "bacterial SSU rRNA". It matches the Rfam family "Bacterial small subunit ribosomal RNA", at positions 27 to 774 of the family's 1533-position model. Lineage: Bacteria; Bacillati; Bacillota; Bacilli; Lactobacillales; Lactobacillaceae. The record is from RNAcentral.
GGACGAACGCUGGCGGCGUGCCUAAUACAUGCAAGUCGAACGCGUUUCCGUUAUUGAUUUUAGAUGCUUGCAUUUAAAUGAUUUAACACGAAACGAGUGGCGAACUGGUGAGUAACACGUGGGUAACCUGCCCUUGAAGUAGGGGAUAACACUUGGAAACAGGUGCUAAUACCGUAUAACAACCAAAACCACAUGGUUUUGGUUUAAAAGAUGGCUUCGGCUAUCACUUUAGGAUGGACCCGCGGCGUAUUAGCUUGUUGGUAAGGUAAUGGCCUACCAAGGCAAUGAUACGUAGCCGACCUGAGAGGGUAAUCGGCCACAUUGGGACUGAGACACGGCCCAAACUCCUACGGGAGGCAGCAGUAGGGAAUCUUCCACAAUGGACGAAAGUCUGAUGGAGCAACGCCGCGUGAGUGAUGAAGGGUUUCGGCUCGUAAAACUCUGUUGUUGGAGAAGAACAGGUGUCAGAGUAACUGUUGACAUCUUGACGGUAUCCAACCAGAAAGCCACGGCUAACUACGUGCCAGCAGCCGCGGUAAUACGUAGGUGGCAAGCGUUGUCCGGAUUUAUUGGGCGUAAAGCGAGCGCAGGCGGUUUCUUAGGUCUGAUGUGAAAGCCUUCGGCUUAACCGGAGAAGUGCAUCGGAAACCAGGAGACUUGAGUGCAGAAGAGGACAGUGGAACUCCAUGUGUAGCGGUGAAAUGCGUAGAUAUAUGGAAGAACACCAGUGGCGAAGGCGGCUGUCUGGUCUGUAACUGACGCUGAGGCUCGAAAGCAUGGGUAGCGAACA